RNAcentral lists this ribosomal RNA (492 nucleotides) under uncultured bacterium. RNAcentral describes it as "partial 16S ribosomal RNA". It matches the Rfam family "Bacterial small subunit ribosomal RNA", at positions 29 to 507 of the family's 1533-position model. The record is from RNAcentral.
AGUGAACGCUGGCGGUAGGCCUAACACAUGCAAGUCGAACGGCAGCACAGUAAGAGCUUGCUCUUACGGGUGGCGAGUGGCGGACGGGUGAGGAAUACAUCGGAAUCUACUUUUUCGUGGGGGAUAACGUAGGGAAACUUACGCUAAUACCGCAUACGACCUACGGGUGAAAGCAGGGGAUCUUCGGACCUUGCGCGAUUGAAUGAGCCGAUGUCGGAUUAGCUAGUUGGCGGGGUAAAGGCCCACCAAGGCGACGAUCCGUAGCGGGUCUGAGAGGAUGAUCAGCCACACUGGAACUGAGACACGGUCCAGACUCCUACGGGAGGCAGCAGUGGGGAAUAUUGGACAAUGGGCGCAAGCCUGAGCCAGCCAUACCGCGUGGGUGAAGAAGGCCUUCGGGUUGUAAAGCCCUUUUGUUGGGAAAGAAAAGCAGCAGGUUAAUACCCCGCUGUUCUGACGGUACCCAAAGAAUAAGCACCGGCUAACUUCGUG